AACGCUGGCGGCGUGCCUAAUACAUGCAAGUAGAACGCUGAAGAGAGGAGCUUGCUCUUCUUGGAUGAGUUGCGAACGGGUGAGUAACGCGUAGGUAACCUGCCUUGUAGCGGGGGAUAACUAUUGGAAACGAUAGCUAAUACCGCAUAACAAUGGAUGACACAUGUCAUUUAUUUGAAAGGGGCAAUUGCUCCACUACAAGAUGGACCUGCGUUGUAUUAGCUAGUAGGUGAGGUAACGGCUCACCUAGGCGACGAUACAUAGCCGACCUGAGAGGGUGAUCGGCCACACUGGGACUGAGACACGGCCCAGACUCCUACGGGAGGCAGCAGUAGGGAAUCUUCGGCAAUGGGGGCAACCCUGACCGAGCAACGCCGCGUGAGUGAAGAAGGUUUUCGGAUCGUAAAGCUCUGUUGUAAGAGAAGAACGAGUGUGAGAGUGGAAAGUUCACACUGUGACGGUAGCUUACCAGAAAGGGACGGCUAACUACGUGCCAGCAGCCGCGGUAAUACGUAGGUCCCGAGCGUUAUCCGGAUUUAUUGGGCGUAAAGCGAGCGCAGGCGGUUUGAUAAGUCUGAAGUUAAAGGCUGUGGCUCAACCAUAGUUCGCUUUGGAAACUGUCAAACUUGAGUGCAGAAGGGGAGAGUGGAAUUCCAUGUGUAGCGGUGAAAUGCGUAGAUAUAUGGAGGAACACCGGUGGCGAAAGCGGCUCUCUGGUCUGUAACUGACGCUGAGGCUCGAAAGCGUGGGGAGCGAACAGGAUUAGAUACCCUGGUAGUCCACGCCGUAAACGAUGAGUGCUAGGUGUUGGAUCCUUUCCGGGAUUCAGUGCCGCAGCUAACGCAUUAAGCACUCCGCCUGGGGAGUACGACCGCAAGGUUGAAACUCAAAGGAAU
RNAcentral lists this ribosomal RNA (896 nucleotides) under human gut metagenome. RNAcentral's name for it is "bacterial SSU rRNA". It matches the Rfam family "Bacterial small subunit ribosomal RNA", at positions 32 to 910 of the family's 1533-position model. The record is from RNAcentral.